RNAcentral lists this ribosomal RNA (430 nucleotides) under uncultured bacterium. RNAcentral's name for it is "partial 16S ribosomal RNA". It matches the Rfam family "Bacterial small subunit ribosomal RNA", at positions 29 to 507 of the family's 1533-position model. The record is from RNAcentral.
AACGAACGCUGGCGGCAGGCCUAACACAUGCAAGUCGAACGCCCCGCCAGGGGUGUGGCGGACGGGUGAGUAGCACGUGGGAACCUUCCCUAUAGUACGGAAUAGCCCAGGGAAACUUGGAGUAAUACCGUAUACGCCCGAAAGGGGAAAGAAUUUCGCUAUAGGAUGGGGCCGCGUAGGAUUAGCUAGUUGGUGGGGUAACGGCUCACCAAGGCGACGAUCCUUAGCUGGUUUGAGAGAACGACCCGCCACACUGGGACUGAGACACGGCCCAGACUCCUACGGGAGGGAGCAGUGGGGAAUAUUGGAGAAGGGGCGCAAGCCUGAUCAAGCCAUGUCGGGUGAGUGAUGAAGGCCUUAGGGUUGUAAAGCUCUUUUGGCGGGGACGAUAAUGACGGUACCCGCAGAAUAAGUCCCGGCUAACUUCGUG